UCGCAUGUCAUUUGAUCACAAAAACUUACAAGCACCUUGUGCACCCAAGCCUCUUUGAUGCCAAAAAAAUUCAUAUUUUUUUUAUUUUUCUUGCUGUUUUAUUUCAAAUUUACUGUUCACAAGCGUGCAUACUAACUGUUUUUCCUCGCCACAAGCUCCUGGAAUAUCCAAAUAGCACGAAAAUUUGCACGCACCUUGCGCACAUGAGUAUCUUCGAUCUCACAAAACUUUAGAUUUUUUUAAAUUUUUUUGCUAUUUUUUCAGGACGGUCAAAGUUGUUUGACCAGACGGUAAGGGCGCAGAAGGUCAUUUCUGUAAGGGCACCUCACGGCGGAGGGGCAAAUUUGAGCAGGCUUUUGAAUUAGGGGUAUAUCUAAUUAGGUGGUUCGAGUUAGGGACAGAAAUGCAAAUGGCCCUUUCAUUUAUAUCGAGGUGAUACAACCAAAAAAAUGUCCGUUCUCUGCAUAGCACGAUAAACACGUUCAACACAACCAAAAAUAUUUACAGUAAUAACUAAAAUUUCAGCCUAAGGUGGGGGUAGAUCCUAUGUGAAGAUUACACCGCCAUUUAUGAAGAGAGAAAACCUCUGUGGCCACAUGCUUCAGCCAUCAUAAAAAAGGUCUUUGUCCUUCGGCCUCCGCAGGAUAUACCAAGUACGAAGCCAUCACGUACAUGCAUGAAUUACCUCCACAGGAAAUGAAACACAUUUAUUAUUGAAAACCACAAUUCCUGAUAAGUCACAAUCACUACCAGAAAAAACCCUAUAGGCAACCACUAGUGGCGCGGGGACGCAGGGUGAGCUCCUACUUACUUGUAGCGUGGGGUAUAAACUCUGAACUGCUACUAAGUUGUUAGUAGUAGCGCGGGUUAUAAAUCCGCGCUGCUACUAACUGGUUCCCACCGUGCAUCCCGGGACAUACCAUAGUAGUAGCGCGGGGUAUAAACCUCAUGAUCCUACUAAGUUGAUAGUAGUAGUUAAGUGGUCCCCUCGUGCCACCCAGGACAUGUCAUGGUAGUGGCAGAGGGUAUAAACCCCAGGCUACUAUUAUCGACCUACCAACACAUGUGUACACAUAGCGCGUGAAGGCCCAAAACCCAAACUCACACUCUCCCGAUUCCCCUUCUCCCUCCCACCAGCGAUUCCCUUCCUCACCCAUUGUCGACCUAGCACCUCGGCGCCUCCCCCAAAUCCGGGCGACCUCCUCUCCCAUCGCAACCCCCCUCCCUUCCACCUUCCUCCUCCUUCUUUGCUGCUAGAAGGAGAGGGAGAUCCAAUAUUGCAUCGUCCAUGGUGGCGGCCAGAUCUGCCAUGGACGCAACCACUUGCACCUCCUCGCCGGGAUAGGGCCUUGUGAGGACAUGCAGACGCCAUUGUCAAGGGUCCCACGACAAGCAGCAACAUGUCACUAGGCGUUGACUCCGACUCCAGCGGCCACUGCAACAAUAGAGGAUAGGAGCGGGGACGAGUUGGGUGGCAAAGCACCAUCACCAUGGAUGAUUUCAUCCCCUCUAGGGCCAGCAUCUACCAUGGAUGGAGAGGAUGAUGAUGCCCAACAGUAGCAUCCAUGGAUGGAGAGGAUGAUGACGCCCAACGGCAGCAUCCAUGGAUGGAGAGGAUGAUGAGCCCAACAGCAGCAUCCAUGGAUGGAAUUUAUUUUUUAAUUCCUAAUUAGUUAGUAGUAGCGCGGGUGGCAACCGCGCUCCUGCUAACUAGUUAGCUGCAGCGCGACCCGUGCCACUUCUAGACCUUUACCCCGCGCUACUACUAACUAGUUAGCUGCAGCGUGACUCACGCUAUUGCUAGGCCUUUACCCCACGCUACUACUAACUAGUUAGCUGUAGCGUGACCCAUGCUACUACUAGGCCUUUACCCUGCGCCACUACUAGGUUUUUCCCUAGUAGUGAAUGCCCAACAUAAGGCAACAACCCCAACAAGAAUAUGUGCACAAAAUUGUCUGUUGAUACCCCACAAUCAGUUGCCAAACAUAUUAUGUGCACUAUGUGGGGGUAAAGAUUUGAAGCUACGUGAACUAUUGAACUAUGGCCCACACUCUGAACGAGCAAACUUACACUCAAAAGGUGUUUAAUAGACUCAUCAUGUUGACAAAACACACAUUUCUUGCUACAUUGCCAAUUGCGGCAUGACAGGUUAUCUCUAAUUAUGAUCACACCUCUGCUUAGAAAUCAGAGGAAUAUCUUCACUCGAAGAGGAGUUUUGAGCUUCCAUAAUUUAUUGUUAUCAACUGGAACGACGGUGUGGACAAUCGUGUCGUACUAGGACUUCACCGGAAUCCUUUUUUUUGCGAUACAAUACAAUCAAACUAACCAAAAUCAUGUAGGAUCAAGAUGAUGAUCAUGACAUUUCAAUCCUUUGUUUUUUUCUAUUCGCGCUUUUUCUAGAAUCCUGUGAAAAAAACAUGCCCUAAAUCAUACUACAUCCAUACAGCAAUAUUUCUCUCCCGCUAGGCCACCAGACGUCAUGUCAUCUACUAGGUCGAUGGUGCUGGAGGUUGGCUUUGUGUUGUUCCAGGAGGAGCUCACGGUGCCCAAACCAACCGCCUCUCGUGUAGAUGGAGUCAUUUUUCAGUCUGGUUUCCGGCCCAGUGUCACCCGACCCGCAUGCCUAGUUCUCUUGGCUGGACCAAUCAUCCUUCUAGACCAUUUCACAAGCCAUCCGAAAACAAGGCUGAAUUAUUCAGCCCCUCACAUCCAGCAAUAAAAAUAAUACAGCACAUCACAACACUCCAUGAGUGGGGAGAAACUUCUCUGCGUGAGCUGGGCAGCCACUGAUCAGAAACAAACCCUGACGUCAAAUUAACCAAUGGCCUGUCGAAGAUUAGGUGGGCAGAAAUUGUUUGUUGAUACCCCACAAUCAGUUGCCAAACAUAUUACGUGCACUAUGUGGGGGAUAAAGAUUUCAAUCUACGUGAACUAUUGAACUAUGGGCCACACUGUGAACGAGCAAACCUAAACUCAAAAGGUGUUUAAUAGACUCAUCAUGUUGACAAAAUACACAUGUCUUGCUACAUUUCCAACUGCGGCAUGACAGGUUAUCUCUAGUUAUGAUCACACCUCUGCUUAGAAACCAGAGAAAUAUCUUCACUCGAAGAGGAGUUUUGAGCUUCCAUAAUUUAUUGUUAUCAACUGGAACAUCGGUGUGGACAAUCGCGUCGUACUAGGACUUCACAGGGGAAAAACCUUUUUUUGCGACACAAUACAAUCAAACUAAGCAAAAUCAUGUAGGAUCAAGAUGAUGAUCAUGACAUUUCAAUCGUUUGUUUUUUUAUUCCCGCUUUUUCUAUAAUACUGUGAAACAAACAUGCCCUAAAUCAUAGUACAUCCAUACAACAAUAUUUCUCUCCCACCAGGCCACCAGACGUCAUGUCAUCUACUAGCUAGGUCGACGGUGCUGAAGGUCGGCUUUGUGUCGUUCCAGGAGGAGCUCACGGUGCCCAAACCAACCGCCUCUCGGGUAGAUGAAGUCAUUUGUCAGUCUGGUUUCCGGCUCGGUGUCACCCGACCCGCAUGCCUAAUUCUUUUGGCUGGACCAAUCGUCCUUCUAGACCGUUUCACAAGCCAGCCGAAAACAAGGCCGGAUUAUUCAGCCCCUCACAUCCAACAAUAAAAAUAAUACAACACAUCACAUCACUCCAUGAGUGGGGGAGAAACUUCUCUGCGUGAGCAGGGCUCCCAACGAUCAGAAACAAACCUUGACGUCAAAUUAACCAAUGGCCUGUCAAAGAUGGGGGGGGCAAAUAAUUGUUUGUUGAUACCCCAUAAUCAGUUGCCAAACAUAUUACAUGCACUAUAUGGGGGUCAAGGGAAUACUUUGUUUUUGCCACUCUAGUUUUUGCCUACUUUGCUUAUGCCAUUCUAGAAUUUGACUUCUCACUUUUGCCACUCCUACCUUUUGAGAAUACAUCAUAAAUGUCAUUGGAUGGCAAAAGCAAUAAUUUUUUAUUUCAGUUUUGCCACUCUUAGAUUUUGAAAUGUAUCACAACUGCCACUCUGAAAAUUUUGUUUUUGCCACGGAAUGGCAAUUGUGAUAAUUGUCAAAAGCUAAGGGUGGCAAAAGUGAUAUGUCAAAUUCUAGAAUGGCAUAAGCAAAGUGGGCAAAAACUAGAGUGGCAAAAACAAAGUUUUCCCUAAAGAUUUCAAGCUACGUGAACUAUUGAACUAUGGCCCACACUGUGAGCGAGCAAACUUAAAUUCAAAAGGUGUUUAAUAGACUCAUCAUGUUGACAAAAUACACAUGUCUUGCUACAUUGCCAAUUGCGGUGUGACAGGUUAUCUCUAGUUAUGAUGUUGCUGAGAAACGAGAGGAAUAUCUUCACUCGGAGAGGAGUUUUGAGCUUCCAUAAUUUAUUGUUAUCAACUGGAAUAUCGGUGUGGACAACCGCGUCGUACUAGGACUUCACAGGGGGAAAACCCUUUUUCUGUGGCACAAUAUAAUCAAACUAACCAAAAUCAUGUAGGAUCAAGAUGGUGAUCAUGACAUUUCAAUCAUUAGUUUUUUUUCUAUUCCCGCUUUUUCUAGAAUAUUGUGAAACAAACAUGCCCUAAACCAUACUACAUCCAUACAACAAUAAUUCUCUCCCACCAGGCCACCAGACGUCAUGUCAUCUACUAGCUAGGUCGACGGUGCUGAAGGUCGGCUUUGUGUCGUUCCAGGAGGAGCUCACGGUGCCCAAACCAACCGCCUCUCGGGUAGAUGAAGUCAUUUGUCAGUCUGGUUUCCGGCUCGGUGUCACCAGACCCGCAUGCCUAAUUCUUUUGGCUGGACCAAUCAUCCUUCUAGACCGUUUCACAAACCAGCCGAAAACAAGGCCGAAUUAUUCAGCCCCUCACAUCCAACAAUAAAAAUAAUACAACACAUCACAGCACUCCAUGAGUGGGGGAGAAACUUCUAUGCGUGAACUGGGCUCCCAAGAUCAGAAACAAACUUUGACAUCAAAUUAAACAAUGGCAUGUCGUCGAUGGGGUGGGCAGAAAAUUGUCUGUUGAUACCCCACAAUCAGUUGCCAAACAUAUUACGUACACUAUGUGAGGGUAAAGAUUUGAAGCUACGUGAACUAUUGAAUUAUAGCCCACACUGUGAACCAGCAAACUUAAACUCAAAAGGUGUUUAAUAGACUGAUCAUGUUAACAAAAUGCACAUGUCUUGCUACAUUGCCAAUUGCGGCGUGACAGGUUAUUAGUUAUGAUCACACCUCCGCUUAGAAACCAGAGAAAUAUCUUCACUCGAAGAGGAGCUUUGAGCUUCCAUAAUUUAUUGUUAUCAACUGGAACAUCGGUGUGGACAAUUGCGUCGUACUAGGACUUCACAGGGGGGAAAUCCUUUUUUUCAACACAAUACAAUCAAACUAACCAAAAUCAUGUAGGAUCAAGAUGAUGAUCAUGACAUUUCAAUCAUUUGUUGUUUUCUAUUCCCGCUUUUUCUAGAAUCCUGUGAAACAAACAUGCACUAAAUCAUACUACAUCCAUACAGCAAUAUUUCUCUCCCGCCAGAUCACCAGAACGUCAUGUCAUCUACUAGGUCGAUGGUGCUGGAGGUCGGCUGUGUGUCGUUGCAGGAGGAGCUCACAGUGCCCAAACCAACCGCCUCUCGUGUAAAUGAAGUCAUUCGCCAGUCCGGUUUCCAGCUCGGUGUCACACGACCCGCAUGCCUAAUCCUCUUGGCUGGACCAAUGAUCCUUCUAGACCGUCUCACAAGCCAACCUGAAAACAAGGCCGAAUUAUUCAACCUCUCACAUCCAACAACAGAAAUAAUACUACUACAGCACAACAUAGCACUCCAUGAGUGGGGGAGAAACUUCUCUCCGUGAGCUGGGCAUCCAAUGAUCAGAAACAAACCUUGACGUCAAACCAAUGGCCUGUCGUCGACGGGGUGGGUAGAAAUCUUCUUCUAGAUGGCAGGUAGCAGCAGCGGUGGCGCGCCGUCGUCGUCGUCGCAAGUGGUUCGGGCUGAAUGAGCCGGCCGGAGAUUGUUGCCUUGCCUCGCUGCGCUGCUGCCUGCUCGCACCUAUGGUGUGUCCUUGUCAUCAGCUUUUGCCCUUCUUCGCCCACUGGUUUCGUAUGCACACGGUUUUCUCCUGUGCUCUUGCCCAAAAAUGGGUCCUGCGCCAAGUGCGUGUGUGCUCCCACUCCCUCUCCCUCUCCCUCUCGUGGAACUGGUAAUGGAUAAAGGGAAUAUAAUUAUGUGGUUGUGGGGUUGGGUUAGGUCAGGUGCAUACUCCUGCCAUUUGGUUUAUCAUCACUCAUACAUCCGUGUGAUGCUUUUAUCUUUUGAGCUUUUUUUUUCUUUCAAGGCGUUUGCUGUUUGUGGGCAAGCAAACAGAUCGUGGUUAGCAGUCCCAAGCAAGCAUGCAAUGGUGGCAUGCGAAGUGUCAAAGAAAGAAUCUGCUCCUAGCAAGAUGCCAAAUGGCUCCCACAAAGCUUUCCAUUUCGUGCGCCCGGUGCCGUACCAGCUCAGCUGUUGGAGAGGGAAAGCAAGCAAACAAUAGUAGAGCAGUAACCUACCAUGGCGAGAAUGAAGAAUGGUCAGGCGGAGCGCGCGGGCCAAGCAAGCAAUUCGGUUGUGCUGCACGUUUGUUUCUCCCUCCCUCCCUCUUGCAUGCCGUUGCCGCCAACGCAAGUUGCUGCGCUGCAUGGGCGAUGUGCUCCCAACAUCCACACUAUUGCCGAUGCCCUUUGCUUCAUUUGUUUAGUGCCAAGUUGAUUAGGGAUAAAGAGUUGACGGGAGAAUGGGCUCCAAUCUUUUGGUUUCUCUAUGCCUUUGAGCAAAAUUAUUGUCUAUGAUCUAUUGCGUUGUACUGGUUGGUACAGCUACAGCAUUGCCACAUUCCAUUCAGACAGAAUUAUUUCCACUUAAAUCAAUAUACUCUGCUGUUUGUU
This is a long non-coding RNA of Triticum aestivum (bread wheat), 6894 nucleotides long. RefSeq lists it as uncharacterized. The record is from RefSeq and is a predicted model, not a curated record. The transcript is spliced from 2 exons. NCBI's taxonomy places the organism in Eukaryota, Viridiplantae, Streptophyta, Magnoliopsida, Poales, Poaceae.